This 70-nucleotide transfer RNA is filed under the name Barbus plebejus ssp. p FP-2019. RNAcentral's name for it is "tRNA-Pro". It matches the Rfam family "tRNA". Rfam says of the family: Transfer RNA (tRNA) molecules are approximately 80 nucleotides in length. Lineage: Eukaryota; Metazoa; Chordata; Actinopteri; Cypriniformes; Cyprinidae. The record is from RNAcentral.
CAGAAAAUAGAUUAAUUUAGAAUUCUGGCUUUGGGAGCCAGUGGUGAGAGUUAAAAUCUCUCUUUUCUGG